Molecule: ribosomal RNA, 515 nt
Filed under: uncultured bacterium
Lineage: Bacteria
Description: bacterial SSU rRNA
Rfam family: Bacterial small subunit ribosomal RNA
Source: RNAcentral
AGAGUUUGAUCCUGGCUCAGGACGAACGCUGGCGGCGUGCCUAACACAUGCAAGUCGAGCGGGAACCUCAGGAGGGGUAACCCUUCUGAGGGGAGAGCGGCGAACGGGUGAGUAACACGUGGGCAACCUGCCCCGGACACCGGGAUAACCCAGGGAAACCUGAGCUAAUACCGGAUACUCCGGCGUGAUCGCAUGGUCGCGCCGGGAAAGCUCCGACGGUCCGGGAUGGGCCCGCGGCCUAUCAGCUUGUUGGUGGGGUAACGGCCCACCAAGGCGACGACGGGUAGCUGGUCUGAGAGGACGGCCAGCCACACUGGGACUGAGACACGGCCCAGACUCCUACGGGAGGCAGCAGUGGGGGAUCUUGCGCUAAUGCGCGAAAGCGUGACGCAGCGACGCCGCGUGGGGGAUGAAGGCCUUCGGGUUGUAAACCCCUUUCGGCAGGGACGGAGGGAAACUGACGGUACCUGCAGAAGAAGUCCCGGCUAACUACGUGCCAGCAGCCGCGGUAAUAC